CAUGCAAACAGAACUCCGACCGGAGACGGAAGGAGUGCUUUUAUUAGAUCAAAACCAAUCGGUGGCGGGUUCGCUCGUCAUCGUACAACUUGGUGACUCUGAAUAACUUUAUGCUGAUCGCACGGUCUCGCACCGGCGACGCAUCUUUCAAAUGUCUGCCUUAUCAACUGUCGAUGGUAGGUUCUGCGCCUACCAUGGUUGUAACGGGUAACGGGGAAUCAGGGUUCGAUUCCGGAGAGGGAGCCUGAGAAACGGCUACCACAUCCAAGGAAGGCAGCAGGCGCGCAAAUUACCCACUCCCGGCACGGGGAGGUAGUGACGAAAAAUAACGAUACGGGACUCAUCCGAGGCCCCGUAAUCGGAAUGAGUACACUCUAAACCCUUUAACGAGGAUCAAUUGGAGGGCAAGUCUGGUGCCAGCAGCCGCGGUAAUUCCAGCUCCAAUAGCGUAUAUUAAAGUUGUUGCGGUUAAAAAGCUCGUAGUCGAAUCUGUGUCUUGCGCCGCCGGUUCAUCGUUCGCGGUGUUAACUGGCGUGUCGCAGGACGUCCUGCCGGUGGGCUUAGCUCGCAAGGGCGGCCCAACUCAAUCCUGCCGCGGUGCUCUUCACUGAGUGUCGAGGUGGGCCGGCACGUUUACUUUGAACAAAUUAGAGUGCUUAAAGCAGGCUAAAACUUCGCCUGAAUACUGUGUGCAUGGAAUAAUGGAAUAGGACCUCGGUUCUAUUUUGUUGGUUUUCGGAACCCCGAGGUAAUGAUUAAUAGGAACGGAUGGGGGCAUUCGUAUUGCGACGUUAGAGGUGAAAUUCUUGGAUCGUCGCAAGACGGACAGAAGCGAAAGCAUUUGCCAAAAACGCUUUCAUUGAUCAAGAACGAAAGUUAGAGGUUCGAAGGCGAUCAGAUACCGCCCUAGUUCUAACCAUAAACGAUGCCAGCUAGCGAUCCGUCGACGUUCCUCCGAUGACUCGACGGGCAGCUUCCGGGAAACCAAAGCUUUUGGGUUCCGGGGGAAGUAUGGUUGCAAAGCUGAAACUUAAAGGAAUUGACGGAAGGGCACCACCAGGAGUGGAGCCUGCGGCUUAAUUUGACUCAACACGGGAAACCUCACCAGGCCCGGACACCGGAAGGAUUGACAGAUUGAGAGCUCUUUCUUGAUUCGGUGGGUGGUGGUGCAUGGCCGUUCUUAGUUGGUGGAGCGAUUUGUCUGGUUAAUUCCGAUAACGAACGAGACUCUAGCCUGCUAACUAGGCGUAUUUUGACAUCGCAAAGGCCCGCCGGUGCGGGGGUUCGCCUCUGUAUCGCGCGCGGUUUUUACUGUCGGCGUACAAACAAUUCUUCUUAGAGGGACAGGCGGCUUCUAGCCGCACGAGAUUGAGCAAUAACAGGUCUGUGAUGCCCUUAGAUGUUCUGGGCCGCACGCGCGCUACACUGAAGGAAUCAGCGUGUCCUUCCCUGGCCGAGUGGCCCGGGUAACCCGCUGAACCU
This 1482-nucleotide ribosomal RNA is filed under the name Deporaus sp. 4-CK-2014. RNAcentral describes it as "SSU rRNA". It matches the Rfam family "Eukaryotic small subunit ribosomal RNA", at positions 170 to 1561 of the family's 1831-position model. The record is from RNAcentral. Lineage: Eukaryota; Metazoa; Arthropoda; Insecta; Coleoptera; Attelabidae.